GGAGAGGUGGCAGAGUGGUCGAUUGUACCUGACUCGAAAUCAGGCGUACUUCAUGAGUACCGUGGGUUCGAAUCCCACCCUCUCCGCCA
This 89-nucleotide transfer RNA is filed under the name Azoarcus sp. RNAcentral describes it as "tRNA-Ser". It matches the Rfam family "tRNA". From Rfam's summary of the family: Transfer RNA (tRNA) molecules are approximately 80 nucleotides in length. Lineage: Bacteria; Pseudomonadati; Pseudomonadota; Betaproteobacteria; Rhodocyclales; Zoogloeaceae. The record is from RNAcentral.